GCCUACGACCAUAUCACCCUGAAUGCGCCCGAUCUCGUCUGAUCUCGGAAGCUAAGCAUGGUCGAGCCUGGUUAGUACUUGGAUGGGAGUCUGCCUGGGAAUACCAGGUGUUGUAGGCU
This is a ribosomal RNA of Petromyzon marinus (sea lamprey), 119 nucleotides long. Lineage: Eukaryota; Metazoa; Chordata; Hyperoartia; Petromyzontiformes; Petromyzontidae. The record is from Ensembl.